AUUUCUUUCUCCCUUGAGGACAGGAGGGUAACUCAAAAGACUUUUAGGAGAGUUGUUCCAUUUCAAUUUAUCAGUUGGUGCUAGCUGUUCUUUCCUGGAGGACAGAUCAUUGUGGUAAAACUGCAGAGUGCCAAGGAAGAACCGCUCCAAGUUUCGGAAAGUCAGCCCAAGCCGCCACUCGCUGGGACGCGGGGGAGCGCAUUGAAGUGAGUCCUAGUCCGGGCACUCG
Molecule: long non-coding RNA, 229 nt
Organism: Sorex araneus (European shrew)
Lineage: Eukaryota; Metazoa; Chordata; Mammalia; Eulipotyphla; Soricidae
Exons: 3
Source: RefSeq, a predicted model, not a curated record